GAGUUUGAUCAUGGCUCAGAUUGAACGCUGGCGGAAUGCUUUACACAUGCAAGUCGAACGCUCUUUGCCUCUUCGGGGGCAAAGGGAGUGGCGAACGGGUGCGUAACACGUGAGCAACCUACCUCCUGGUGGGGGAUAACCUCGGGAAACCGGGGCUAAUACCGCAUACGGUCUUCGGGUCACCUGGCCUGGAGAGGAAAGGUGCUGCAAGGCAGUGCCGGGAGAGGGGCUCGCGGCGUAUCAGCUAGCUGGUGAGGUAACGGCUCACCAGGGCGAUGACGCGUAGGGGGUCUGAGAGGAUGGCCCCCCACAUUGGGACUGAGAUACGGCCCAGACUCCUACGGGAGGCAGCAGUGGGGAAUCUUGCGCAAUGGCCGAAAGGCUGACGCAGCGACGCCGCGUGCGGGAGGACGCC
RNAcentral lists this ribosomal RNA (415 nucleotides) under uncultured Gemmatimonadota bacterium. RNAcentral describes it as "bacterial SSU rRNA". It matches the Rfam family "Bacterial small subunit ribosomal RNA", at positions 9 to 415 of the family's 1533-position model. The record is from RNAcentral. Lineage: Bacteria; Pseudomonadati; Gemmatimonadota.